RNAcentral lists this ribosomal RNA (541 nucleotides) under uncultured bacterium. RNAcentral's name for it is "bacterial SSU rRNA". It matches the Rfam family "Bacterial small subunit ribosomal RNA", at positions 355 to 896 of the family's 1533-position model. The record is from RNAcentral.
UAGGGAAUAUUGGUCAAUGGGGGGAACCCUGAACCAGCCAUGCCGCGUGCAGGAAGACGGCCUUCUGGGUUGUAAACUGCUUUUAUAGGGGAAGAAUGUGUUCCAUGCGUGGGAUAAUGACGGUACCCUAAGAAUAAGCACCGGCUAACUCCGUGCCAGCAGCCGCGGUAAUACGGAGGGUGCAAGCGUUGUCCGGAUUUAUUGGGUUUAAAGGGUGCGUAGGCGGGCUCUUAAGUCAGUGGUGAAAGUCUGCGGCUCAACCGCAGGAGUGCCAUUGAAACUGGUAGCCUUGAGUGCCGUUGAGGUAUGCGGAAUUUAUGGUGUAGCGGUGAAAUGCAUAGAUACCAUAAAGAACACCAAUAGCGAAGGCAGCAUACUAAUCGGUAACUGACGCUGAGGCACGAAAGCAUGGGGAGCGAACAGGAUUAGAUACCCUGGUAGUCCAUGCUGUAAACGAUGAUCACUCGAUGUGUGCGAUAGACAGUACGCGUCCAAGCGAAAGCGUUAAGUGAUCCACCUGGGGAGUACGUCGGCAACGAUG